GAUGAACGCUGGCGGCGUGCCUAAUACAUGCAAGUCGAGCGAACAGACGAGGAGCUUGCUCCUCUGACGUUAGCGGCGGACGGGUGAGUAGCACGUGGAUAACCUACCUAUAAGACUGGGAUAACUUCGGGAAACCGGAGCUAAUACCGGAUAAUAUAUUGAACCGCAUGGUUCAAUAGUGAAAGACGGUUUUGCCGUCACUUAUAGAUGGAUCCGCGCCGCAUUAGCUAGUUGGUAAGGUAACGGCUUACCAAGGCAACGAUGCGUAGCCGACCUGAGAGGGUGAUCGGCCACACUGGAACUGAGACACGGUCCAGACUCCUACGGGAGGCAGCAGUAGGGAAUCUUCCGCAAUGGGCGAAAGCCUGACGGAGCAACGCCGCGUGAGUGAUGAAGGUCUUCGGAUCGUAAAACUCUGUUAUUAGGGAAGAACAAAUGUGUAAGUAACUAUGCACGUCUUGACGGUACCUAAUCAGAAAGCCACGGCUAACUACGUG
Molecule: ribosomal RNA, 497 nt
Filed under: uncultured bacterium
Lineage: Bacteria
Description: partial 16S ribosomal RNA
Rfam family: Bacterial small subunit ribosomal RNA
Source: RNAcentral